AGGACGAACGCUGGCGGCGUGCUUAAUACAUGCAAGUCGAGCGAGAAGCCACUUCUCCGCAAGGAGAAGUGGUGGAAAGCGGCGAACGGGUGAGUAACACGUGGAUAACGUGCCCCAGACACUGGGAUAACAGCGGGAAACCGCUGCUAAUACCGGAUAACGCAUAACUGUCGCAUGACGGAUAUGCCAAAGCUCCGGCGGUCUGGGAUCGGUCCGCGGCCUAUCAGCUUGUUGGUGGGGUAACGGCCUACCAAGGCAGUGACGGGUAGCUGGCGUGAGAGCGCGACCAGCCACACUGGGACUGAGACACGGCCCAGACUCCUACGGGAGGCAGCAGUAGGGAAUCUUGCGCAAUGGGCGAAAGCCUGACGCAGCGACGCCGCGUGAGCGAUGAAGGCCUUCGGUUGUAAAGCUCUUUCAGCAGGACGAAAUUGACGGUACCUGCAGAAGAAGUCCGGCAACGUACGUGCCGAGCAGCCG
This 480-nucleotide ribosomal RNA is filed under the name uncultured soil bacterium. RNAcentral's name for it is "bacterial SSU rRNA". It matches the Rfam family "Bacterial small subunit ribosomal RNA", at positions 26 to 517 of the family's 1533-position model. The record is from RNAcentral.